UGGGUAACCUACCCUAGAGUGGGGAAUAACUAGCCGAAAGGUUAGCUAAUACCGCGUACGCUCCUUGGACUUCGGUUCAGGGAGGAAAGCGAUACCGUGGGUAUCGCGCUCUUGGAUGGGCUCAUGUCCUAUCAGCUUGUUGGUGAGGUAACGGCUCACCAAGGCUUCGACGGGUAGCUGGUCUGAGAGGACGAUCAGCCACACUGGCACUGCGACACGGGCCAG
RNAcentral lists this ribosomal RNA (225 nucleotides) under uncultured bacterium. RNAcentral describes it as "partial 16S ribosomal RNA". It matches the Rfam family "Bacterial small subunit ribosomal RNA", at positions 118 to 334 of the family's 1533-position model. The record is from RNAcentral.